RNAcentral lists this transfer RNA (69 nucleotides) under bovine gut metagenome. It matches the Rfam family "tRNA". Rfam says of the family: Transfer RNA (tRNA) molecules are approximately 80 nucleotides in length. Their secondary structure includes four short double-helical elements and three loops (D, anti-codon, and T loops). The record is from RNAcentral.
GGAUGUAGCUCAGCUUGGUAGAGUGCUUGAUUUGGGAUCAAGAUGUCACAGGUUCGAAUCCUGCCAUCC